Molecule: ribosomal RNA, 253 nt
Filed under: uncultured bacterium
Lineage: Bacteria
Description: partial 16S ribosomal RNA
Rfam family: Bacterial small subunit ribosomal RNA
Source: RNAcentral
UACAGAGGUCUCGAGCGUUAGGCGGAAUCACUGGGCUUAAAGCGUGUGUAGGUGGAUCGUUAAGUACCUUGUGAAAUCCCACGGCUUAACCGUGGAACUGCUUGGUAUACUGGCGGUCUUGAGCCAGCUAGGGGCUACCGGAACAAAUGGUGGAGCGGUGAAAUGCGUAGAUAUCAUUUGGAACGCCAAUGGUGAAAACAGGUAGCUGGGAGUGUGCUGACGCUGAGACACGAAAGCCAGGGGAGCAAACGGG